Molecule: long non-coding RNA, 3230 nt
Organism: Lates calcarifer (barramundi perch)
Lineage: Eukaryota; Metazoa; Chordata; Actinopteri; Centropomidae
Exons: 3
Source: RefSeq, a predicted model, not a curated record
AUUGAGGUCCUGAGAGGACAGAGGUCUGAGGUCUGAGCAGCUCAGAGCUGAACAGACAGAAACCAGAUUACUGGACGUAUCAGGCUCUGCUCUUUAAUCAGUUUAAUCAGUUUGUAAUGAAGCUGAUGUGAUCAGGAAGGAAAAGCUCCUGUUCAGUGUCGGAGCUGACGGACAGUAAGAUCUGUUCCUGAUCUCAGACUCUAACACACUGACUGGGACUGAGCUUCCUGUUCCUUCACACACAUCAAACAGGUUCUAAUGAGCCCGUGAGCUUCUUCAGACCUGUGUGGUAACCAUGGUAACCAGGGUCAGUAGUGUUAGUCUGUCCUCAGCCCAGAGACCGACCCGGGUCACAUGGAGCGCUCCCUGCUCUGCUGUGUCGGCCAUCUUGGACGCUCUCUGCCUGUCAGCCUUCGUACGUCUCAGUGAGUGAUUUGUCCCUGUGGGCUGUUAGUGGAGGGAGGCAGAGAUGAUCUGCAGGAUACAGGACUGUCUUAUCAGUCUGCUGGUUUUUCUAUCAGGACUUUAACUUCAUUAAAAGAUGGGAACACUUCCUGUGGCCCUGCAGCUCGUUAGGAGUCUGCUCCUCUGUGAUUGGCUGAUGUUCACAGACGCUGGUUAAACCUGAGUCAGUCACUGAGUGUGUGUGUGUGGUGUGUGUGUGUGUGUGUGUGUGUGUGUGUGUGUGUGUGUGUGUGUGUGUGUGCUGACAGUAAACAAUAAGCUCAGAUGGAUCCAUCAGUCUAAUGGAGCCAUGUCAGGUGAGUGUGAGUCUCUUAACGAGCUCGUUAAUCAUGUUUACAGAGUUAAUUGAGCUCAUUAAGAGGAAACUGCCUCUCUGUAAUCACCACUCCUCUUCCACUAAGAUUUAAUUACACUCUCUGUCCAAUCAGACGUCACGAUUCUGACAUCAGCCAACCAGCGCCGGCGGGGGCAGGACCUCCUGUGAUUGGUCCAGACAGGAUAAUGAAGUCUCCCACACUUCCUGCUGAAUAAAGAACAACAUCCUCUGAACAGAGAGUUUCAUAAAGAGGAGAGAGGGAGAGCUGGGCUCUAAUCUGAUUAUCCACAGCAGCUCAUUCAGUCACAGUGUACUGUCAGGACAGGUGAGUCAGGACAGGUGAGUGAUGGAGGUUUACUGUCAGGCGUUGUGUGAGGACUGUGUCUCUGAGAUCAGUGACCUCUCUGAUCUGACCCAUGUGAUGCAGUUUGAUUAUAGAUUUAUUAUUGGAUUCUUCACUGUGUGAUUGGUCAGACUGAAGGUUUAAUACCUUUACCUGAGCGUCAGAUCACCUGAGUGAUGACUGUGCUUGUCUCUUGUUCAGUAAAGUGACUGUGAGCUCAGUGUGAGGAUCUGUUGGAUUCAUGUCAGUAAAAGUCUUCAGCUGUAGUUUUAGUUUGAAUGUUUCACUGUUUCUUUCUAAAUGUGUUUGAAUCUGGUUUUGUGGAGCAGCUUUGUUGUUGUGUCUCUGACACUGACGUGUUUUAUAGUUUGUUACUGUCUGUUGACUGUAAACUGAACUGAACCUUCUCAUGUCUGGAGCCAUCAGAUUAGCUGCAGACAGACAGACAGACAGACAGACAGACAGACAGACGGGAGAUGAUGAACUGCUCCUUUAACGUGGUUCUCCUCCUCCUCCUCCUCCUCCUCCUCCUGCUGUAGAUCUCUCUGUUGUUCACUGAUGGAUUUCAGUGUGGGAAGUGUUGCCCGUAGCAACCGGCCCUGAUUCUCUAGGAGCUGUAACUGUGCAGUUGCCAUGGAAACCACAUCCGCGACACGCAGCAGCUACCACCACACGACAACACGACACUAAAAACACCUCAGUUACUCCUGCCUCACUCUCACAGUUCAGAAGUCCAUUGGAAAUUUGAACAUUUUUCAAACUAAAAUCAAAGAAACUUUAAACCUGCUGCAGUUAGAAAGAAACAAACAUCAGACAGAACUCAAACGUCCAGAAACCCUGAAGAGACUUUACAAAGAUGUGAAAGUGAAGCAGGUCAGAAACUAAAUCAUUCAUCAGGUUCAAUCUGAACCCAGAUCAACCUGAGAUCCUGUGGUUAACAUGCUCACUGAGCUGAGUCGUCCUGCAGCUGACUGCAGAUCAGUUAUAUAAGGUGGAGUGUGUCAGUGUGUGUAGGAGCAGCUGUGUGUUGAUGUUCCAAAAACAGAAAGACACACACACACACAAAAGCAGGUGUACAGUUCACUACACACCAAACAUCAGGUCCACAGCUCUGUAUUGUUACUACUGACAGUCUGACCAUAUUAGUUCCCUCUACUACAACGAAUCUACUUACUGCUAAUACUACUGUCCAUACUACAACUACUACAAACCCACAUCUAUUACUGCUAAUAUUAUUAAUACUGCUACUGCUACUAAAACCAAUCGGCAGUAUAUUAGUACUAUUACUGCUGCAGGUACUGGUACUGUUAGUAAUCCACUCAAACAAACCUCUACUACUACAUCGACUAAUAUUACUGCUGCUGAUGGUGGUUCUGGUACUUGUACUCCUGCCAUAAUACCACUGCUGACGACUCCCAAAGCUCAGAUGUCUGAGGGUUCCUGAACACACCAACUACGUAUCUCCAGCAGGUGGUUUACCUGUCGGCAUGACAGUAACAGGUAGAAAGCUGCGAUGCCGAGCGGCCAGAAGCAGCAGAGCAUGGAGAAGACACUGAGGCCCAGGUGAUCUCUGGGAGGCAUCAACAGGAAGGUGUCCUCGCUCUCUGAUUCGCUGGAGUAAUCACUCUGAAAACACACACACAGCUCCUCCAUCUCAGUUCUUUGAUGAAGCAGGUCGACAUCAAAAUUCAAGAGGUGUGUUAUUCUGCUGCUGGAGGCUGAACAUGAGCCACUCAGACAGAGGAGGAGGAGAACGAGAAGGAGGAGGAGGGCUGAAAAUGAAGGAUGGUUGACAGAGGAUGGAUGAGGAGUUGGGGGGGUCGAGGUGGGGGGGGGUUGAAGUCCUGUAGACUGUGCUGAUUUUAAGAAGUUUUUCUCGUUCACGUCAACACAGACUUUGACCCCAGCCCCUAGAGGACGUUAGAGGAACUGCAGCUCAACGGUUUUUCUCUUCACCAGCAGGAGGUGACGUAGAUAUUUCACAUGUUAAUGAAGCUCCACCUGCAGCAGAACAUGUUCCUCAGCCUCCAGGACUCAUGUUCUACGCCGAUGACACUCUUCACUUCCUGAAACAUUCAAAACCAAACUCAGUUUUUCACCUCGAGC